GAUGUUGGUUAGUCCGCAACGAGCGCAACCCCUAUUGUUAGUUGCCAUCAUUCAGUUGGGCGACUCUAGCGAGACUGCCGGUAAUAAACCGGAGGAAGGUGGGGAUGACGUCAAAUCAUCAUGCCCCUUAUGACCUGGGCUACACACGUGCUACAAUGGUUGGUACAACGAGUUGCGAGUCGGUGACGGCGAGCUAAUCUCUUAAAGCCAAUCUCAGUUCGGAUUGUAGGCUGCAACUCGCCUACAUGAAGUCGGAAUCGCUAGUAAUCGCGGAUCAGCACGCCGCGGUGAAUACGUUCCCGGGCCUU
Molecule: ribosomal RNA, 308 nt
Filed under: uncultured Streptococcus sp.
Lineage: Bacteria; Bacillati; Bacillota; Bacilli; Lactobacillales; Streptococcaceae
Description: bacterial SSU rRNA
Rfam family: Bacterial small subunit ribosomal RNA
Source: RNAcentral